This 59-nucleotide transfer RNA is filed under the name Loxodonta africana (African savanna elephant). It matches the Rfam family "tRNA". From Rfam's summary of the family: Transfer RNA (tRNA) molecules are approximately 80 nucleotides in length. Their secondary structure includes four short double-helical elements and three loops (D, anti-codon, and T loops). Further hydrogen bonds mediate the characteristic L-shaped molecular structure. tRNAs have two regions of fundamental functional importance: the anti-codon, which is responsible for specific mRNA codon recognition, and the 3' end, to which the tRNAs corresponding amino acid is attached (by aminoacyl-tRNA synthetases). tRNAs cope with the degeneracy of the genetic code in two manners: having more than one tRNA (with a specific anti-codon) for a particular amino acid; and 'wobble' base-pairing, i.e. permitting non-standard base-pairing at the 3rd anti-codon position. Lineage: Eukaryota; Metazoa; Chordata; Mammalia; Proboscidea; Elephantidae. The record is from Rfam by way of RNAcentral.
GGGUUCAGUGGUAGAAUUCUUGCCUUCCGUGCAGGAGACCCGGGUUUGAUUCCCAGCCA